AUUGAACGCUGGCGGCAGCCUAACACAUGCAAGUCGAGCGGCAGCACGGGAAGCUUGCUUCCUGAUGGCGAGCGGCGGACGGGUGAGUAAUGCAUAGAAAUCUGCCCGGUAGUGGGGGAUAACCUGGGGAAACCCAGGCUAAUACCGCAUACGUCCUACGGGAGAAAGCAGGGGAUCUUCGGACCUUGCGCUAUCGGAUGAGUCUAUGUCGGAUUAGCUUGUUGGUGAGGUAAUGGCUCACCAAGGCGACGAUCCGUAGCUGGUCUGAGAGGAUGAUCAGCCACAUCGGGACUGAGACACGGCCCGAACUCCUACGGGAGGCAGCAGUGGGGAAUAUUGGACAAUGGGCGAAAGCCUGAUCCA
Molecule: ribosomal RNA, 363 nt
Filed under: uncultured bacterium
Lineage: Bacteria
Description: bacterial SSU rRNA
Rfam family: Bacterial small subunit ribosomal RNA
Source: RNAcentral